CGGAAGAAGCAUUGUUAAGGAACUCGGCAAAAUGACCCCGUAACUUCGGGAGAAGGGGUGCCCACGAAAGUGGGCCGCAGAGAAUAGGCUCAAGCAACUGUUUAGCAAAAACACAGGUCUAUGCAAAACCGAAAGGUGAGGUAUAUGGGCUGACGCCUGCCCGGUGCUGGAAGGUUAAGAGGAGAGGUUAGCGCAAGCGAAGCUUUGAAUUUAAGCCCCAGUAAACGGCGGCCGUAACUAUAACGGUCCUAAGGUAGCGAAAUUCCUUGUCGGGUAAGUUCCGACCCGCACGAAAGGCGUAAUGAUUUGAGCGCUGUCUCGACAAUGCACCCGGUGAAAUUGAAGUACCAGUGAAGAUGCUGGUUACCUGCGCCAGGACGGAAAGACCCCAUGGAGCUUUACUCCAGCUUGAUACUGGGAUUCGGUAUUGCAUGUACAGGAUAGGUGGGAGGCUAAGAAGCGGUGACGCCAGUUGCCGUGGAGCUGCUGUUGGGAUACCACCCUUGCAGUACUGGGUUUCUAACCAGCGGCCUUAAACAGGUCGGGGGACAAUGUCAGGUCCGUUGGGAUACCACCCUUGUGGUGCUGGGUUUCUAACCAGAGGCCGUGAACCGGUCUGGGGACAAUGUCAGGUGGGGAGUUUGACUGGGGCGGUCGCCUCCGAAAGGGUAUCGGAGGCGCUCAAAGGUUCCCUCAGAAUGGUUGGAAACCAUUCGAAGAGUGCAAAGGCAGAAGGGAGCUUGACUGCGACACCGACGGGUGGAGCAGGUACGAAAGUAGGACUUAGUGAUCCGGUGGUAUAAAGUGGGAUUGCCAUCGCUCAACGGAUAAAAGCUACCCUGGGGAUAACAGGCUUAUCACUCCCAAGAGUUCACAUCGACGGAGUGGUUUGGCACCUCGAUGUCGGCUCAUCGCAUCCUGGGGCUGUAGUAGGUCCCAAGGGUUGGGCUGUUCGCCCAUUAAAGCGGUACGCGAGCUGGGUUCAGAACGUCGUGAGACAGUUCGGUCCCUAUCCGGCGUGGGCGUAGGAUAUCUGAGAGGAGCUGUCCUUAGUACGAGAGGACCGGGAUGGACGGACCGCUGGUGUACCGGUUAGACUGCCAAGUCUACGGCCGGGUAGCCAAGUCCGGAAGGGAUAAACGCUGAAGGCAUCUAAGCGUGAAGCCCCCCUCAAGAUGAGAUAUCCC
This 1187-nucleotide ribosomal RNA is filed under the name human gut metagenome. RNAcentral describes it as "bacterial LSU rRNA". It matches the Rfam family "Bacterial large subunit ribosomal RNA", at positions 1691 to 2815 of the family's 2925-position model. The record is from RNAcentral.